Arachis stenosperma is the source of this 4054-nucleotide RNA transcript. It is a transcript of the gene named putative disease resistance RPP13-like protein 1, with no coding region annotated. The record is from RefSeq and is a predicted model, not a curated record. NCBI's taxonomy places the organism in Eukaryota, Viridiplantae, Streptophyta, Magnoliopsida, Fabales, Fabaceae. The transcript is spliced from 3 exons.
AUAUAUUAUUAUUGGUUAAUUAUAAUAAUCUCAGCAUGCACCACAUUACAGUACUUACACUGAACUGCUACCCCUUCCAUAACCUGUGUUUGUGAGUGAAUUCUGAGUUUGGAGUGCAAACAGAAACAGCUUCCUUUUCCUUCCCUUUCUUACUUUCUUGCUCUUGUGAACAUGGCUGCUGAACUUGUUGGAGGAGCUUUUCUCUCUUCUUUUCUCAAUGUUCUUUUUGACCGGCUGUCUGAUCCUGAGAUCGUCAACAUGAUGAGAGGAAAGAAGGUUGACCAGAAGCUGCUUCAAAGGUUGAAGACCAUUCUAAAUGUGGUUGAAGCUGUGCUGAAUGAUGCUGAGAAGAAGCAGAUCACUGACUCUGCUGUCAAGAGGUGGCUCGAAGAUCUCCAAAAUGCUGUGUAUGAUGCUGAUGACUUGUUGGAUGAAGUCGCUACCAAAGCUGCUACUCAGAAGGAUCCACCAGGUAACUUCUUGUCUCGCUUUCUCAAUUCGCAAGAUAGGGAGAUGGUUAGUAGGAUUGAAGAAAUCAUUGCUAGACUAGAGGAUAUUGCAAAACACAAAGAUAUCCUUCGUCUGAAAAAGAUUGCAGCCAAGAACAUGUCUGGGAGGAUUCCUUCAACCUCCUUGGUUAAAAAAUCUGAUAUAUUUGUUGGAAGGGACAGAGAGCGAGAUACCAUAGUGAAAUUGUUGUUAGAUGAUGUUAACAAUGGUGAACUGUCUGUCAUUCCCAUCGUUGGCAUGGGUGGGAUAGGAAAAACUACUUUGGCUAAAUUGGUUUACAAUGAUGACAUGGUGCAGCAAACAUUUAAUGUGAAGGCAUGGGUUUGUGUUGGUGAGGAGGAAUUUGAUGUUCUUAAGGUGACAAAGGCUCUGAUAGAGAAAACUUGCAGUCCUUGUUACUCAAAUGAUUUAGAUACAGCUCAAAAUCAUUUGAAGAAUGGGCUAGCAGGGAAGAACUUCUUGGUUGUUCUGGACGAUGUAUGGAGCAGUAAUCGUGAGCAUUGGGAAAGUUUUCUAAAUCCUUUUGAAUGUGGAAGUGAGGUAGGCAAAAUUCUUGUAACAACACGUCUUGAUACAGUUGCUUCUGUGGUGAAAACUAAACAUACUGAAGCUCACAAUUUGAGUUUAUUGGAUGAAGAACAAUGCUGGUCAGUGUUUGCAAAUCGUGCAUGGGAUCCUGCCGAAUCCCAAGAUCGUUCAACUUUAGAAGAAAUUGGUAGAAAAAUUGUUAAAAAAUGUAAAGGAUUACCUUUGGCAGCUCAAACACUUGGAGGGUUAUUGAGAGGGAAAGAUAAUGAAAAGGAUUGGAAUGAUGUUUUGAAUAGUGAAUUCUGGGAACUCUCUGAGGAGGAUAGCGUGAUUCUUCCUGCAUUGAGGAUCAGUUAUUUCCACCUUCCUUCGUAUUUAAAACGUUGCUUUGUUUAUUGUUGUUUGUAUCCGAAGGACUUUGAAUUUGAUAGAGAUGAACUGACAUUGUUGUGGAUGGCAGAAGGUUUUUUGCUACAACCAAAGAGUGGAAACACUUUGGAAGAAAUUGGUUGUGAAUAUUUUGAUGAUUUGGUUUCGAGAUCAUUUUUUCAACAUUCCAACUCUGAUGAUAAUACAUUUGUGAUGCACGACCUCAUGCAUGAUUUAGCAACAUUUUACGGUGGAAAGUUCUUUUCUAGAAUCUUUGAGCUCAAGAACACAGAAAAGCAUGAUACCAAAACUCACCACUUGUCAUAUUCUCGCAACAUUGAUGAUGAUUCGCUUAUGAAGAUCACAGAAGCAUGUGAAAGGUUAAAACAUGUGAGGACAUUGUUGAAAAUCGAUUUGAAUGAAUAUGGUGGAUUCUCAAAGGGAGUAACUGUUCCUUGUGACUUACUAGAACAAUUAAAGUGUUUACGAGUUUUGUCAUUUAAUGUGUUUUCAGAUGAUGGAACCUUGAUGCAGGGUUCAAUUGGUGAAUUGAUCCAUUUGCGUUAUUUGGAUCUUUCAUACACAUCCAUCAUGACUUUGCCUGAGUCUUUGAGUCGCUUGUACAAUUUACAAACCUUGAAGUUGAGAUACUGUAAAAGACUUAAAAAGCUUCCGUCCAAGAUGCAAGAUCUGGUAAAUUUGCGUCAUCUUGAUAUUGAAGGCACUGAAAUGGAAGAGAUGCCAAAAAAGAUGAACAAAUUAAAAGAUUUGCAAUUUUUAAGUGACUAUAUUGCGGGAAAACAUGAAGAGAAUGGGAUUGGAGAAUUGGGAGAGCUACCACAUCUUCAUGGGUCAUUGCGGAUUGAGAAACUAGAGAAUGUUAAGAAUAGUGAUGAAGCAUCGAAUGCAAAGAUGGAUGAAAAAAUACAACUGAAUGCUUUAUAUUUGUGGUGGUCAUCAUUUGAAGAAAGUGAGGUUUGUGAUUCCCAAAGUGAAAUAGAUAUACUUGAGAAAUUACGUCCUCACAAAGACUUGAAGGAGCUAUCCAUCAGGCGUUACAGAGGUACGAUGUUUCCGGAUUGGGUAGGGCAGUCUUCGUACCACAACAUGACUGAGUUGUAUCUGAGGGCAUGCAGGAAUUGUUGGGUGCUUCCAUCACUUGGACAGUUACCCUCUCUGGAGAAGCUAGUCAUUACAGAGCUCGACAAGCUGAAGAUGAUUGGUCGUUCAUUCUAUAAGGGUGAUGGAACUCAUCAGCAUCAGGAGACACCCUUCCGAUCCCUUAAAUCUCUUUCAUUUUAUGAUAUGUGUUGCUGGGAGGACUGGGAGUCAUAUGAAUGUGAUGAUGAUGAUGAUGCACCAUUUCCAAAACUUGAGUGGCUUAAUAUAGUGAACUGCCCUAAGUUAAGAGGAGAUUUGCCCACUUUCCUUCCGUCUUUGAAAGGACUCUACAUUAGAGGAUGCGAGGAGCUUGGUUGUUAUCUGCCAAGAGCUCCCAUCCUACGCCAAUUAACAAUACAUGGCAAACAGGAAGCAAGAAUCCGGGAGCUACCACUUUCCAUGUUGGAGACACUAUGGGUUAAUGGAGAGCAGCAGGUGGAGUAUGUGAUUGAGGCCAUGAUCCACACUCAACUAACCUCUCUCAUAGACCUACAGAUCUCAGAGUGCUCAUCAGCCAUAUCAUUUCCAGGGGAUUCUUUGCCCCCUUCAUUGAAAGAGUUGCGCAUAUACAAUUGCAAGAAUGUAGAAUUCCCAAUGCAACACCAACAACAUCACUCGCUAGAGACAUUAGAAAUACACAACAGCUGUGAUUCGCUUACAUCCUUCGCAUUCCCAUCGUUCCCAAAUCUCAACUAUCUCAAAAUUUCAGAUUGCCCUAAGCUGGAGAAGAUAAUAAGGGUGCCUGCCUCUUUAAGGGAACUCUACAUCAACAAAUGUCCGUUGUUGAGUGAAGGCAUAGAGAGGAAGGACCCCCACAUUUGGCCAUCCAUUUCCCACAUCCCCUACAUUCGACUUGGUGGGAAACUGAUUCUCAAUGACUCAACAUCUUAAAACAGGUUAUUCAUCAACCCACAUCCCCACUAUUGUAACCAAAGUAUUCCUGUCCCAAGAAACUCAUUCCUCAACUUCUACCCUCAACUCAUUUCUACUCACGUACAUACUCUUGUGAAGUAACAGAUUUUUCGGCUCCAAUUGGGAAUUCAGAAAGAAAUUUUGGAUCAAGGAGACACAUGGGCCAAUUAGAAUGCAGCAAGGAGUCUCCCAAUGAUGAGGAUACAGCAACAAUGUAACAUUAGAACCUUCUAAGAAGAGGUAGAAUUGUACCUCAAGCAGCAUUCAAAUUUGGAAACUAUACAGUUGAAGGUUUGGAAGCAGCAAGAAAAUUAGAAAGUGAGAGGGAAGAAUAUCAUCAUCCAAAUAGUAAAAUCAGAAUGUGUUUACUGUGUAUGGUGUUCACUUUUCUGUAAAAGAAAAAAGGCAUGAGUGUUUGUAUGUGAGUGAGAGCAUCUAGCAAAAGCCUUAAGAGAGUCUGAGUGACUUGUAAUCUUGACAAUUUGUAUUCUGAAUUCGUUUAGUGAAAAUCCCACCAUUUUUUAUGGUGGGGACUAGAUGUAGAUUCUAUUUCGGAAUAGAACCAGGAUAUAUC